Molecule: transfer RNA, 78 nt
Filed under: Nitrospirota bacterium
Lineage: Bacteria; Pseudomonadati; Nitrospirota
Description: tRNA-Glu
Rfam family: tRNA
About the family: Transfer RNA (tRNA) molecules are approximately 80 nucleotides in length. Their secondary structure includes four short double-helical elements and three loops (D, anti-codon, and T loops). Further hydrogen bonds mediate the characteristic L-shaped molecular structure. tRNAs have two regions of fundamental functional importance: the anti-codon, which is responsible for specific mRNA codon recognition, and the 3' end, to which the tRNAs corresponding amino acid is attached (by aminoacyl-tRNA synthetases). tRNAs cope with the degeneracy of the genetic code in two manners: having more than one tRNA (with a specific anti-codon) for a particular amino acid; and 'wobble' base-pairing, i.e. permitting non-standard base-pairing at the 3rd anti-codon position.
Source: RNAcentral
GUCCCCAUCGUCUAGCCUGGCCUAGGACACCGCCCUUUCACGGCGGUAACAGGGGUUCGAAUCCCCUUGGGGACGCCA